AUGCGCAUGACCGUCCUGUCUCCAGGGUCAUCCUCCACGCGUGGGUCCUCAGACGGCUGCAGAGACCGAUCCUUGAUCCACAUAGGCACACAUGGGGUUUGCGUAGCUUUGUAGGACGCAGCACUGACUUCCAUUCAGUCUUACACAAAGCAUUCUCCAUGUGGACCUAAAGAGGUCACAACAUGUAGCAGGCGUCGGAGCAACUCAUUUUAGGGAUGUAGAAGACACAAAUCCACUGCCAUGGUGAUCACACUCUUUCGUCUAGUUCACUGGACAAAGAAUGUGCGUUUGGGGAACGGACAAUCUUACUGUCAGCCAAUGUGAAUGAUGAUUCACAGAGAUGAGCAAAUAUAAUGAUGUGUAUCUCAGUCUUGGACUCACGUGCAUGUGGUAGGAGAUGAAGAAAGACUUCUCUGUGUGUUGUGUCUCAAAACUCUGGUGGCAGGGGACGGCAUGAGACCUAAUAAAUUGAAGAGACACUUAAAGACAUACACUCCAGUCACGUCAGUAAGAGGAAACUUUGUGAAUACUGUGAUAACAGCAUGUGUAAACAACAAAGCACAACUGGCAUCCUCUAGAUGUUUGUUUUAAUAAAAAUUAUUUGUGACCCACAGUUACAAUUUUGUUUGGGUUGGAGGCGCCCUGGAAAUGUAUCCUCCGUCACAACAUCUCUGUGGUCUUCUGCUUUUCCUCCUUCUCUGCAGCUCAAUCUACAUGUAGAUGUUAUAUUUCCAUAUGAUUCAAGUUCCAUGGAGACAGUCAGCAUGUUCUCUGUGCUCGGUUAAGUUGAGCUGAGUUGAGUUUUAGGUCAACUAUGCCAUUGAAUUGGAAUAUUGUCCUUUUAGUGUCAGCCUCCCCAACACUAUGUGACAACACUCUUUAAUAAUAGACAUUUUCUGAGGGCCCAUUAGCUGUGUCUCAAGCCAAGGGCUGGAUUCUAUGGAGUAUGCAUUUGUCAACCUACUCACCCUUCAGAGGAUUCAGCCAUUGGACUGAGAAACAACUAGCAAGUCACGGACCAAAAGAACUUUAGCCCGCAGCUAGUUGUUAGCAUGUCAAGUGCCAUUCUGUGUCUUUCUACCAUCCAUUAACCCCUCAUCAGUCCAGUAUGUAUGGACCUUGUCAGUUCAUUUGUAUUUACAGGUGUAAUUUCCUGCAAAGCGUUUCCUCUUCAUCAGCUGGGAACCAACCUUCCUUGACGUUUCAUCCUUUUAAUUCCAGUACAUCUCAGGAUGGUGGGAUAACAGUUUCCCUGCUCCUCCAUGCAGCUGGAUUUUGAUGCUCAGGUUCCACUAUGUUGCUGUUUGGGUCCCCCAGCUCAGAAUCUCCCCUUCUCCUCUUCUUCUGAGAGAUCUUUGAUGGCUUUCCAGUCUUUGGCUCCAGUCUGUGUACCCGAUCAUACAAGUGAGCCACUGGACAUCCUGCAAGAUUUCUCGUCUACUUCUAUUAUUCUGGGUUUAAAACCUGGGGACAGGAACAGUUGGACAUGUGCAGUGUAGCAACUCAUCACCAACCACACUGUCUGGGUGCCGAUAAUGCGCCCGGGUGCAGUCUGACUUUGAAAGUGAUUCCAGUUUUAGUCGGAUUAACACAGUAAUUCCAUAUCUUCCUGAUGUCAUGUAAACAGACUUGGUGUUUACUAGUUGAACCAACUAAUCUAAACCAGGCAGGACUCCUGUCGACAGCUUGAAUUGGCUCUGGCAUACACUGAAAAACAAAAUUGCCCCAGCCAAUCAAACUAUGAGAAGAGAUAUGGAAAAGACAUAGCAAGCCUCCGGCUCCAGUUCUUAUCAGUCCAUCUGUCUGUGUGAUGACAAUAAACAAACAAUGAAUAUG
Long non-coding RNA from Solea senegalensis (Senegalese sole), 1836 nucleotides. RefSeq lists it as uncharacterized. The transcript is spliced from 2 exons. The record is from RefSeq and is a predicted model, not a curated record. NCBI's taxonomy places the organism in Eukaryota, Metazoa, Chordata, Actinopteri, Pleuronectiformes, Soleidae.